CGGAGCGUGGCGCAGUCUGGUAGCGCACUCCCUUGGGGUGGGAGAGGUCGGAAGUUCAAAUCUUCUCGCUCCGACCA
This 77-nucleotide transfer RNA is filed under the name Acanthopleuribacter pedis. RNAcentral's name for it is "tRNA-Pro". It matches the Rfam family "tRNA". From Rfam's summary of the family: Transfer RNA (tRNA) molecules are approximately 80 nucleotides in length. Their secondary structure includes four short double-helical elements and three loops (D, anti-codon, and T loops). Further hydrogen bonds mediate the characteristic L-shaped molecular structure. tRNAs have two regions of fundamental functional importance: the anti-codon, which is responsible for specific mRNA codon recognition, and the 3' end, to which the tRNAs corresponding amino acid is attached (by aminoacyl-tRNA synthetases). tRNAs cope with the degeneracy of the genetic code in two manners: having more than one tRNA (with a specific anti-codon) for a particular amino acid; and 'wobble' base-pairing, i.e. permitting non-standard base-pairing at the 3rd anti-codon position. RNAcentral also lists the same sequence under 3 other names. The record is from RNAcentral. Lineage: Bacteria; Pseudomonadati; Acidobacteriota; Holophagae; Acanthopleuribacterales; Acanthopleuribacteraceae.